Molecule: ribosomal RNA, 468 nt
Filed under: uncultured bacterium
Lineage: Bacteria
Description: partial 16S ribosomal RNA
Rfam family: Bacterial small subunit ribosomal RNA
Source: RNAcentral
GACGAACGCUGGCGGCGUGCUUAACACAUGCAAGUCGAACGGAAAGGCCCUGCUUUUGUGGGGUGCUCGAGUGGCGAGCGGGUGAGUAACACGUGAGUAACCUGCCCUUGACUUUGGGAUAACUUCAGGAAACUGGGGCUAAUACCGGAUAGGAGCUCCUGCUGCAUGGUGGGGGUUGGAAAGUUUCGGCGGUUGGGGAUGGACUCGCGGCUUAUCAGCUUGUUGGUGGGGUAGUGGCUUACCAAGGCUUUGACGGGUAGCCGGCCUGAGAGGGUGACCGGCCACAUUGGGACUGAGAUACGGCCCAGACUCCUACGGGAGGCAGCAGUGGGGAAUAUUGCACAAUGGGCGGAAGCCUGAUGCAGCAACGCCGCGUGCGGGAUGACGGCCUUCGGGUUGUAAACCGCUUUCGCCUGUGACGAAGCGUGAGUGACGGUAAUGGGUAAAGAAGCACCGGCUAACUACGUA